RNAcentral lists this transfer RNA (87 nucleotides) under Patescibacteria group bacterium. RNAcentral describes it as "tRNA-Tyr". It matches the Rfam family "tRNA". Rfam says of the family: Transfer RNA (tRNA) molecules are approximately 80 nucleotides in length. Their secondary structure includes four short double-helical elements and three loops (D, anti-codon, and T loops). The record is from RNAcentral.
GCGUCGGUGGCGGAGUGGUCAAUCGCAAUUGGCUGUAAACCAAUCGCCCUUGCGGCUACGUAGGUUCGAAUCCUACCCGGCGCACCA